RNAcentral lists this ribosomal RNA (253 nucleotides) under uncultured bacterium. RNAcentral describes it as "partial 16S ribosomal RNA". It matches the Rfam family "Bacterial small subunit ribosomal RNA", at positions 524 to 776 of the family's 1533-position model. The record is from RNAcentral.
UACGGGGGGGGCAAGCGUUGUUCGGAAUUACUGGGCGUAAAGGGCUCGUAGGUGGCCAACUAAGUCAGACGUGAAAUCCCUCGGCUUAACCGGGGAACUGCGUCUGAUACUGGAUGGCUUGAGUUUGGGAGAGGGACGCGGAAUUCCAGGUGUAGCGGUGAAAUGCGUAGAUAUCGGGAGGAACACCGGUGGCGAAGGCGGUUCUCUGGGCCUGACCUGACGCUGAGGAGCGAAAGCGUGGGGAGCGAACAGG